GCUGGAUGGGAGGGCCCAGGCAGGAUUCCUCUCUAUCUCUGCCCUGCUCUCCUCCACAAAACCCUGAAGGCCUGAAGCCUGCCCCUUAAGUCACAGAUUCCUUAGGUGACUUCACAGGGUAGUGAUGACCUCACAAGCUUCCAAAGUUUCCAUGGCAGCGUGACUACACACCUGCGUCCUAGAGAAGCCUCCCUACCAUUUCUCUGUAAGAUACCAAUCUGUUUGGUUGGCUGAGAGAGAAUGACUGACCGGAUCCUCUAUAUUGUCUCUAACAUGUCCUCUGUCCCCUGGGAGGGCAGCGCAGCAGGGGAUGCGAAGAAGAUGAAAGGACUUCUUAGGAAGAGUCGCGAGAGAGGGUAGGCUGUAACAGCACAAUGUAUAAGGUAAAAGUGACUAAUUCUGGUUUUCUUUCCAGCUGCAGUGCCUGCCACUUCUCCUCCCACACCUGGGCACUACCAUGUUCUCUACCGAGGGUGUGGAGAAACUCAGGUAGGCUGGCAUGGGGAGACGUACUGCCUGGUUGGUGGCUACCGGGUCCAUGGGGAUGCUCCUUUGGCCACCCCAACAAAGGCUGAAGCAGAGAAGCCAGCCCCCAGGCGUGCUCCCAAGAGACGUCAAGCUACGAUAGAGUCAGAUAAAGACCUGGGUUGCUCUAGCCCCAAAAUUCGGCGCUUGGAGCAUCGUGGCAGGAGACUGACCCCACAGAAGCUUGCUGGCUGAGCCAUUUGGGAGAAAGGACAAAUGUUUAGCUGUCUAAGACAGCUAAUGCCUCUUCUGCGGUGACCUCCCCUGCCCACCACUGCAGAUAGAGCCUGAGUCAUUCUGCCUAUGCCUUCCUCAUCCAGAAGCCCCCUUCCAUGCUAACUACCCAUGGCCAAGGAGCCUCAGAAACUGUGGUUUAAAAUGAGAGGUUGCUUUGAACAUCCCAAGGCUGAAGACGGCCUGGAAGAAAACCUGAUGUUCCUCUACUCAUCUCUCCAGAGUCCCUUUUUGGGCAGAAGAUAGAAAUAGUCUGCACUCUGCUAGCCGAGGAGUCAAGUGCAGAGAGGGAGUGCAGCAUAGCCCAGUAAGGGCUUGAUCUACCAGAUGGGUCUUUGCUUUGAGUCACUGCCAGCAACUACCAGCACAAACCAGGAGGGCCAGGACUUGCUGAAACUGGAAGCAGCAGCCCAUGGCUAGUCACAGCAGGAGAAAGCCUCCUGCUUGGCAUCUCAGGAGGUAGAAGAAAGAGACCUGGGGAGACCUGCCACCUACAGCAAGAACAAUAAGGAGGAAGUUGAGCAACAUCCCCCUGAAGCUCACAUGUUACUUUAUUUCCUGCCCAUUAUGGCCCCAGUGAGGUCCCUACUGCUCAAUUUAAAAAAAAAUUAAAAAAAUUAUUUUUCCAUAACAGUAUUUGACUUGAUCAUCUUUUUUUUUUUUCUUUUUUGACGGAGUCUCACUCUGUCACCCAGGCUGGCGUGCAGUGGCACUAUCUCGGCUCCCUGCAAGCUCCACCUCCUGGGUUCACGCCAUUCUCCUGCCUCAGCCUCCCUGGUAGCUGGGACUACAGGCGCCCGCCACCACACCCAGCCAAUUUUUGUAUUUUUAGCAGAGACGGGGUUUCACCAUGUUGGCCAGGAUGGUCUUGAUCUCCUGACCUCAAGAUCUGCCCGCGUUGGCCUCCCAAAGUUCUGGGAUUAUAGGCAUGAGCCACCAUACCCAGCCUCUUUCUUCCUCCUCUUCUUAUUCUUCUUCCUUCUUCCUUCUUUCUUCUUCUUCUCCUUCUCCUUCUCCUCCUUCUUCUUCCUCUUUUCUCUCUCUCUCUUAGAUGGGGUCUCGGCCAGGCACAGUGGCUCAGUCCUGUAAUCCCUGCACUUUGGGACGCUGAGGCAGUGGAUCACCUAAGGUCAGAAGUUUGAGACCAGCCUGGCCAGCACAAUGAAACCCCAUCUUACUAAAAAUACAAAAAAUUGGCCAGGCGUGGUGGCUCACGCCUGUAAUCCCAGCACUUUGGGAGGCCGAGGUGGGCGGAUCACGAGGUCAGGAGAUUGCGACCAUCCUAACAUGGUGAAACCCCAUCUCUACUAAAAAAUACAAAAAAUUAGCCAGGCGUGGUGGCGGGUGCCUGUAGUCCCAGCUACUCGGGAGGCUGAGGCAGGAGAAUGGCAUGAACCCGGGAGGCAGAGCUUGUGGUGAGCCGAGAUAGUGCCACUGCACUAAAGCCUGGGCGACAUCCGUAUCAAAACAAAAAAAAAAAUACAAAAACUUAACUGGUCAUGGUGGUGGGCACUUGUAAUCCCAGCUACUCAGGAACCUCAGGCAGGAGAAUCACUUGAACCUGGGAGGCAAAGGUUGCAGUGAGCCGAGAUCAUGCCACUGCACUCCAAUCUGGGCAACAAGAGUGAAACUCUGUCUAAAAAAAAAUAAAAAAAAAAAGGCCAGGCGCUGUGGCUCACACCUGUAAUCCCAACACUUUGGGAGGCAGAGGCGGGCGGAUCACAAGGUCAGGAGAUCAAGACCAUCCUGACUAACACAGUGAAACCCCGUCUCUCCUAAAAAUACAAAAAAUUAGUCAGUUGUGGUGGCAGGCACCUGUAGUCUCAGCUACUUGAGAGGCUGAGGCAGGAGAAUGGCAUGAACCCGGGAGGCGGAGCUUGCAGUAAGCCAAGAUCACGCCACUGCACUCCAGCCUAGGCGACAGAGCGACACUCCAUCUCAAAAAAAAAAAAAAAAAAGAUGGGGUCUUGCCGUGUUGUCCAGGCUGGUCUUGAACUCCUGGGCUCAAGUGACCCAUCUGCCUCAGCCUCCCAAAUAAAUAAAAAUUUAAAAAAGAAACGCAGAGCCUGGCCGGCCACAGUGGCUCACAUCUGUAAUCCCAAUACUUUGGGAGGCCAAGAUGGGAGAAUUGCUUGAAGCCAGGAGUUCAAGACGAGCUUGGGCAAGUAGUGAGAUCCUGUCUCUACAAAAAUAAAAAUAAUUAGUUAGGUAUGGUGGGGUGCACCUAUAGUCCUAGCCAUCUGGGGGGCUGAGGCGUGAGGAUCGCUUAAAGCCAGGAGUUGAAGGCUGCAGUAAGCUAUGAUCAUACCACUGCAUUUCAGCAGUCUGGGUGACUGGGUGACACAACGAGACCCUGUCUCAAAAAAGAAAGAAAAAAAGAAAAGCUAAAAAAAUGUAGAGCCCAGUGAGUGUUUCCGUGUGUGUGUGUGUGUUUUAGAGAGUGUUAGGAGAGGGACAAAAUAACUAAGAAGAUGCUGCUCCAUCUAUCCACUCAUCCAUUCAUUCAUUUAUUCAACAAGUAUUUAUUGGGCACUUUUUUUUUUUGUUUGACACAGAGUUUUCUCUCCUGUUGCCCAGGCUAGAGUGCAGUGGCACGAUCUCGGCUCACUGCAGCCUCCGCCUUCCGAGUUCAAGCGAUUCUCCUGCCUCAGCCUCCUGAGUAGCCGGGACUACAGGGGCACACCCCCACACCCGGCUAAUUUUUGUAUUUUUAGUAGAGAUGGGAUUCACCAUAUCGGUCAGGCUGGUCUCGAACUCGUAACCUCAGGCGAUCCACCCACCAAAGUGCUGGGAUUACAGACAUAAGCCACCGCACCCGGCCUAUUGAGCACUUCUUACAUACCAGCCACUGUGCUGGUUGCUUGGGAUAUAUUGGUGAAUGAGAAACUCCUCCCCUCAAGGCACCCACAAACAAUAUAAUUUGUUCAUAGAGACAAACAAUAUAAUUUUUGUUGUUGUUGUUGUAGUUGUUUUUCUUGAGACGGAGUCUCGCUCUGUCACCCAGUCUGGAGUGGCGCGAUCUAGGCUCACUGCAAGCUCUGCCUCCUGGGUUCACGCCAUUGUCCUGCCUCAGCCUCCCCAAACAAUAUAAUUUUAGAUAACUAUAACUGGUAUAAAGAAAAAUGAAACUGGAUAAGAGAAUACAGUAAUGAGGUGUGCUGUGUUACACCAGGUGGUUAGGGAAGGCUUCUCUGAGAUGAUGACAUUGUGGCUGAGAUGUGAGGGAAUCGUGAGGAGUAGAAGGGAGAGCAUUACUGGAGGAAAUUUCAAGUAUAAUGGUAAGAAUGAGACUGAUCCAUUUUUUCUUUUUUUGAGGUGGGGUCUCACUUUGUCUCCCAGGAUGGCGUACAAUGGUGCGACCUUGGCUCGUUGCAACCUCUGCCUCUCAGGUUCAAGUGAUUCUCCUGCCUCAGCCUCCUGAGUAGCUGGGACUAGAGGCACAUGCCACUACACUCGGCUAAUUUUUGUGUUUUUAGUAGAGAUGGGGUUUCACUAUGUUUGCCAGGCUGGUCUUAAACUGCAGACCUCAGGUAAUCCGCCAGCGUUGGCCUCCCAGGGUGCUAGGAUUACAGGUGUGAGCCAACACACCCGGCCUACAAGACUGACCAAUUUGAGGGCCAGCAGAAAGGCCAGUGUGGCCAGGGAAGAAAGAUAGAGGAGAUUGAAAGAUGUGGUGGCUGGGAGGCCAAGGAGGGAGGGUCACUUGAGCCCAGGAGUUUGAGACCAGCCUGGCAACAUAGGGAGGUGCCCUUUCUACAAAAAAUCAAAAAAUCAGCUGGGUGUGGUGGUGAAUGCCUGUGGUCCCUAGCUACUCAGGAGGCUGAGGCAGGAGGAUUGCUUGAGCCUAGGAGGUAUAGGCUGCAACGAGCCAUGAUCCUGCCACUGCACUCCAGCCUAGGCAACGAGUGAGACUCUGUCAGAAAGAAAGAAAGGAAGGAAGGAAGGAAGGAAAGAUGGAAGGAAGGAAGGAAGGAAGGAAGGAAGGAAGGAAGGAAGGAAGGAAGGAAGGAAGGAAGGAAAAAAAAAUAAGAUGGUUGGAGGCCAGGUGCAGUGGCUCACUCCUGUAAUUCCAGCAAUUUGGGAGGCUGAGGCUAGUGGAUCACCUGAGGUCAGGAGUUCGAGACUAGCCUGGCCAACAUGGUGAAACCCUGUCUCUACUAAAAAAUACAAAAAUUAGCUGGGUGUGGUGGCAGGCGCCUUAAUCCCAGCUACUUGGGAGGCAGAGGCAGGAGAAUCAUUUGAACCCGGGAGGCGAAGGCUGCAGUGAGCCGAGAUCGAGCCAUUGCACUCAAGCCUGAGGGACAAGAGUGAGACUUGUCUCAAAAAAAAAAAGAAAGAAAAGAAAAAGGUGGUUGGAGAAGUAAGGAAGUAAGCAAGUAAGCAUGGGCCAGACCAUAGUGGGCCGUGCCAGCCACGGUAAGGACAGUGGAUCUUGUUUUAAGUAUAUUGGGAAGUCAUGGAGGAAUCUGAAUAAGGUAGGGAAGUAAUCUGAUAUAGAUGCUAAAAAGAUCCGUCUGACUGCUGCGUGCCAUGGUAGUGAGGUGCUGGCUGUUACCAGGGGGACUGUCUCUCUCUGCAGCUGGGACAGCUGGUGCUGGGGACUGGGGGAUGGAGGAGCAGUCAGCAGAGAAGAAACACCAUGACGUUUGUCCCAAGUCUGCCUGUAUCAGCAGCCCAGAAAAAGGCGGCACUGUCAGCAACUCACUUGUCCUUAGGGGUCCCAGCAGCAAGACUGUUGCUCCUCCCCCCAACACGCAUACCAUGGAGGCCAGGAAAGGUCCUGAUAGGUUUUCCUAACUUGGGUUAAAGGAAGGAGGCACAGGCCCUGGGCUCCCAGAAAGUUCCCUGUGAGAGUCUCCAUUAACCCCCAGAGUCUCUCAUCCGUGGCGUGACUGAAGCAGAUUUGUGGUUCCUGGAUGGCCUGGAUAGUUUGGCAGUUCCCAAAGCUGAAACAAAUAGACUCAACUGGGGCUCUUAAAAAAGAGUGAUCCCGGCCAGGCGCAGUGGCUCACACCUGUAAUCCCAGCACUUUGGGAGGCCAAGGCGGGGAGAUCACGAG
This 5818-nucleotide long non-coding RNA is filed under the name Homo sapiens (human). Its description in RNAcentral is "HSALNT0232745". Lineage: Eukaryota; Metazoa; Chordata; Mammalia; Primates; Hominidae. The record is from RNAcentral.